GACGAACGCUGGCGGCGCGCCUAACACAUGCAAGUCGAACGAGCGAGAGAGAGCUUGCUUUCUCGAGCGAGUGGCGAACGGGUGAGUAACGCGUGAGGAACCUGCCUCAAAGAGGGGGACAACAGUUGGAAACGACUGCUAAUACCGCAUAAGCCCACGGCUCGGCAUCGAGCAGAGGGAAAAGGAGCAAUCCGCUUUGAGAUGGCCUCGCGUCCGAUUAGCUAGUUGGUGAGGUAAUGGCCCACCAAGGCGACGAUCGGUAGCCGGACUGAGAGGUUGAACGGCCACAUUGGGACUGAGACACGGCCCAGACUCCUACGGGAGGCAGCAGUGGGGAAUAUUGCACAAUGGGGGAAACCCUGAUGCAGCGACGCCGCGUGGAGGAAGAAGGUCUUCGGAUUGUAAACUCCUGUUGUUGAGGAAGAUAAUGACGGUACUCAACAAGAAAGUGACGGCUAACUACGUGCCAGCAGCCGCGGUAAAACGUAGGUCACAAGCGUUGUCCGGAAUUACUGGGUGUAAAGGGAGCGCAGGCGGGAAGACAAGUUGGAAGUGAAAUCCAUGGGCUCAACCCAUGAACUGCUUUCAAAACUGUUUUUCUUGAGUAGUGCAGAGGUAGGCGGAAUUCCCGGUGUAGCGGUGGAAUGCGUAGAUAUCGGGAGGAACACCAGUGGCGAAGGCGGCCUACUGGGCACCAACUGACGCUGAGGCUCGAAAGUGUGGGUAGCAAACAGGAUUAGGUACCCUGGUAGUCCACACUGUAAACGAUGAUUACUAGGUGUUGGAGGAUUGACCCCUUCAGUGCCGCAGUUAACACAAUAAGUAAUCCACCUGGGGAGUACGACCGCAAGGUUGAAACUCAAAGGAAUUGACGGGGGCCCGCACAAGCAGUGGAGUAUGUGGUUUAAUUCGACGCAACGCGAAGAACCUUACCAAGUCUUGACAUCCCUUGACGAUGCUGGAAACAGUAUUUCUCUUCGGAGCAAGGAGACAGGUGGUGCAUGGUUGUCGUCAGCUCGUGUCGUGAGAUGUUGGGUUAAGUCCCGCAACGAGCGCAACCCUUAUGGUCAGUUACUACGCAAGAGGACUCUGGCCAGACUGCCGUUGACAAAACGGAGGAAGGUGGGGAUGACGUCAAAUCAUCAUGCCCUUUAUGACUUGGGCUACACACGUACUACAAUGGCGUUAAACAAAGAGAAGCAAGACCGCGAGGUGGAGCAAAACUCAGAAACAACGUCCCAGUUCGGACUGCAGGCUGCAACUCGCCUGCACGAAGUCGGAAUUGCUAGUAAUCGCAGAUCAGCAUGCUGCGGUGAAUACGUUCCCGGGCCU
Molecule: ribosomal RNA, 1332 nt
Filed under: uncultured bacterium
Lineage: Bacteria
Description: bacterial SSU rRNA
Rfam family: Bacterial small subunit ribosomal RNA
Source: RNAcentral